ACUAUACAGACAUCAUCCUACCUUCCUGCAUUUCUUGGCGUGCGUGUGAAGUAGAGGGUCCGUACAUCCGGGCCUUGCAUAGCACCAGAUCCAUCAGACCAGAUCCGGCACCAGAUCCAGUUCCAGAUCCAGUUUCCGAUCCAGUACCAGAUCUAGCAUCUGAUCCAGUAUCUGAUCCAGCACUUGGCCCUGUACCAGAUUCUGUUCCUGUGUACCUUGACCAUCUUCCGCUGCGGGAUCGAGGUAUGGUAAACAUAAUAUAGUUAUGUUAUUUAUUUAUACCUGUUAUAAAUAAAUAGAUAAAAUUUUAAAACUGAUUUUCUGACCUGGCAUC
Molecule: long non-coding RNA, 334 nt
Filed under: Phoenix dactylifera (date palm)
Lineage: Eukaryota; Viridiplantae; Streptophyta; Magnoliopsida; Arecales; Arecaceae
Description: long non-coding RNA (PDAC_LNC018518)
Source: RNAcentral